Molecule: long non-coding RNA, 307 nt
Filed under: Oryza brachyantha (malo sina)
Lineage: Eukaryota; Viridiplantae; Streptophyta; Magnoliopsida; Poales; Poaceae
Description: long non-coding RNA (OBRA_LNC001327)
Source: RNAcentral
ACUGUGUGCCUACUGAAUAAUUUACAGUUCAGAGGCAACGGAUCAAUCGAAUACAACCGCGUAGAAGAACAAGUGCACGAGCAGCAGCAGCAGCAGUAGUAGGUACACUACUAAUGCGCGUUCAAGAACAAGUGGCAGCCAUUGAUCCGGAUCUCUCCAGACUAGUAUUAGUCUUCAGAUCAGAUCAGCCAUGCAAAUGUCAAUUAGUGUCAGUGCAGCUAGCUAAUCAUUCAGCAGCUAUAUGGACAUGGACGAUCUCCCCUUUGUCAGUCUCUGCAUCCACUGGUGCUGCUACUACCGAUCAAUC